This 1052-nucleotide ribosomal RNA is filed under the name Otidea nannfeldtii. RNAcentral describes it as "partial large subunit ribosomal RNA". It matches the Rfam family "Eukaryotic large subunit ribosomal RNA", at positions 1 to 1379 of the family's 3401-position model. Lineage: Eukaryota; Fungi; Ascomycota; Pezizomycetes; Pezizales; Pyronemataceae. The record is from RNAcentral.
UUAUCAUCCCGGCUCGUCGAUGAGAGAAUACUAGCAUAUCAAUAAGCGGAGGAAAAGAAACCCAACAGGGAUUGCUUUAGUAACUGCGAGUGAAGCGGCAAAAGCUCAAAUUUGAAAUCUGAUGUCUUUGACGUUCGAGUUGUAAUUUGGAGGGAUAUCUUCGGAGCCGGGGCCGUUCUAAGUUCUUUGGAACCAGACAUCAUAGAGGGUGAGAAUCCCGUGCCUGGAUGGCUGUCCUGCUCCAUGUGAAGUGUCUCCGACGAGUCGAGUUGUUUGGGAAUGCAGCUCAAAAUGGGUGGUAAAUUUCAUCUAAAGCUAAAUAUUGGCGAGAGACCGAUAGCGCACAAGUAGAGUGAUCGAAAGAUGAAAAGCACUUUGAAAAGAGAGUUAAACAGUACGUGAAAUUGUUGAAAGGGAAGCGCUUGAGACUAGAUUCAGCUGACGGUGAUCAGCCGUGCUUUUGUUCGGUGCACUUGCCGUUGGUUGAGCCAGCAUCGGUUUUGAUGGUGGGAUAAAGAUUUGAGGAAUGUGGCUCCACACUUUUGUGGAGUGUUAUAGCCUCGAGUGCAAUGCCACCGGUUGGGACCGAGGACCGCGCUUCUGCUAGGAUGCUGGCUAAAAGGUCUUAAGCGGCCCGUCUUGAAACACGGACCAAGGAGUCUAACAUCUAUGCGAGUGUUCGGGUGAAAAACCCUUGCGCGUAAUGAAAGUGAACGGAGGUGGGAACCCCUUUGGGGUGCACCAUCGACCGAUCCCGAAGUUUACGGAAGGAUUUGAGUAGGAGCAUAGCUGUUGGGACCCGAAAGAUGGUGAACUAUGCCUGAAUAGGGUGAAGCCAGAGGAAACUCUGGUGGAGGCUCGCAGCGGUUCUGACGUGCAAAUCGAUCGUCAAAUUUGGGUAUAGGGGCGAAAGACUAAUCGAACCAUCUAGUAGCUGGUUCUGCGAUAUUUCUCUCUCUCUCUCCACGAGAGAAACGGCAACCCAGGCGUCUAUCUCUAGAAAUGGGUGUUCUCGAUAUAGAAUCCUGGUGCCCCCCUUAUUUAUCAACCAC